RNAcentral lists this ribosomal RNA (492 nucleotides) under uncultured bacterium. RNAcentral's name for it is "partial 16S ribosomal RNA". It matches the Rfam family "Bacterial small subunit ribosomal RNA", at positions 29 to 507 of the family's 1533-position model. The record is from RNAcentral.
AGUGAACGCUGGCGGUAGGCCUAACACAUGCAAGUCGAACGGCAGCACAGUAAGAGCUUGCUCUUACGGGUGGCGAGUGGCGGGCGGGUGAGGAAUACAUCGGAAUCUACUUUUUCGUGGAGGAUAACGUAGGGAAACCUACGCUAAUACCGCAUACGACCUACGGGUGAAAGCAUGGGAUCUUCGCACCUUGCGCGGUUGAAUGCGCCGAUGUCGGAUUAGCUGGUUGGCGGGGUAAAGGCCCACGCAGGCGAGGAUUCGUAGCUGGUCUGAGAGAAUGGUCGGCCACACUGGAAGUUAGACGCCGUCAAGACUCCUACGGGACGCAGCAGUCGGGAAUAUUGGGCAGUGGGCGCAAGCCUGAUACAGUCAGAGCACGUGUGUGACGAAGGCCUUCGGGGUGUAAAGCCCUUUUGUUGGGAAAGAAACGCUGCCGGUUAAUACCCCGCGGGUCUGACGGUACCCGAAGAAGAAGCACCGGCUAACUUCGUG